RNAcentral lists this long non-coding RNA (3682 nucleotides) under Homo sapiens (human). Its description in RNAcentral is "non-protein coding LINC01372:2". The record is from RNAcentral. Lineage: Eukaryota; Metazoa; Chordata; Mammalia; Primates; Hominidae.
AAAAAAAAAUUAAAUUCCUAGCCAGGUCUUCCUAUUGGGUGAGGAGGCCCUUCCAAAGUUCCAGCGAAUUCCUUAGUCUGACAACUUUUCUCAAUUCAGAAAGAUGUGUUUGGUAACAUAUAUUAAAAGGCAGAAAUAUGCAAAUGCAUAAACAAUAGAAUUUGACAUAAUUAUGUGAUAAAGUGAAAUGCUCCUGCAGUUAGUUAUUGAACAUGAAGGACCUCUCUAAUUCUUCAGAGAAACUGUGAGAUAAUCUCUACCAUUUAUGCUUAGCAAGGAGCCAUGCUGCAGAGGAAAAGUAGAAAUACACACGAGUGACAAAAGCAAAAAAAUAUAUAUAUGAAAAACUCUGAAACCACCCUCAAUGAAAAGUAAUAUGUCUGUAUUUAAAGAGUAGGUAAAUCAUAUAGUGAAUUUAGAAGGUAAAAAACGAGGUCUAUAAUUACAUGAGUAUAUAGAAAAUGUUAAGUGUUUUCGUGAAAAGGUAUAUAAACAAUAAUGAAUAAUCAUUUCACAUUGAAAAUAAUUUAAUUUUAAAAGGAGAUAGUACAAAUAACAAAAAAAAAAGUCGAAGUACGGUAAUAGUAGAAAUUUCAAAUAUUUUAGGAAUGUCUUUCUCCAGAGUAGCAUGUUGUUUAGAAACUAAAUUUCCACAGUAGAUUUCAUAGCUCCUGAACAUGAAUUAAAACUUUGAUAUUAGCUGCAGAAAUGUACAUUAGUUUGUGGGGAGGGGAUAAAGAAAAUAAUGUGCCAACCUUCCAACAAUUUCCCCAAACAGAUUUUUGCAUCUUGGUCAUUACACUUACUUUCAAGAUUCUUUUCUUGGUUUAAACAUGUAAUCUUGUCUCUUUGCUCACCUGCUCACUCUUCAAGCAAGCAUUAUUUUCCAAGGAAUUUUUUCUUAAUUUUUAAAAUUUAACAAGUUUAACUACAAUUAAUAAAGUACUCCCGGCACAAGGACUCUGAAACAUUGUUUGGGUCUUGGAAAAGUUUGAAACUUCCAAUUCAUUAGGACUUUGAGUAACUAUUUUGUACCUAAGAAUGAGAAUUGAUGGAGAGAGUGGUACUAAGCACAUAAUUUUAUGAAAUAUGAUGAAAACAUGAGAGUUUUGUUAUGACGCACAUAACAAUAAAGAACCUGUUUCUUUUUAGCAGGCUCCUAAAAAGUACUUCCCUUAUAAUUAUUAAAUAAAAACACUCACUUAUUCAGUACUCAGCUAGCUUUUAAGAUCUGAAUAACAGAAGUACACAGUGAGAGAGGUACUUACAUGGUUUCCUUGGAUACUGGAUGAUGCCAUUCAGGUCUAUGUUUUUAUCUGAAAAUGGUGCCCUGUGGAGAAACGAGGCUUGGUGAGUGGCUGUUUAUACAUAGUAAGUAAAUAGGAACUUUGUUUAUUUUACAAAGCAUUUUUUAUUUUGACCCAGCUUUCCUUUUCUCAUCACACCCAACUCCUGUAAACAGCAAUAAUAUGGUAGAACAGGUACUCUGUACAACUCUUUUUAACUCCACUUAAGAAAUCAUAAUUAUUAAGGCAGAAGCUCAGAAUGCUUUGCCUUAACCAAAAGAUAAGAGAACUCAAGCUUUAGCCAGUUUCUAAACAUGAAGGGUUUCCAUAGACCUUAGCUGCCAUUUUACAUGUUCCAGUGUCAUCCUAGAUUCCCAAUAGUUUUAGUGCUAUGAGCAUACAAUUUUGACAUUCAGUCCCUCAGAACUACACACAUUCUAAUUUUGGUAGUAUGAAUAAUCUCUCCUAUGUGAUAAGUUAUUUAACCUUCUAAUAUUUCUUAGAAUCGAAAAGAACAAAUGAGCUGCAGCAAAGAAUGGCAAAUAACUUUUAUGCUUAACACAAUUUAAUAACCUGAAAUGAAGUAAGUAUGUGCUAUGUUUCCAUUAAAAAGUUUCCAGCCACAAUUAAUUGAACGAAAACUUGUCUUGUUCCAAGAUUAUUCUUGGAAAUGUAAUUUUAAAAUCUGCUUGAAAUGAGGAAACUUACUUUUUUAUACCAUAUGAAAGCAAUUUCAUUUUUUAGGAAUGAUUUUUGGAUAGACUUCCGAUUGGAUAUUUUCCAUUGGAACUAGCAGCAUAGGGGGUCGGGAGGGGGGAGGGGAGGGAAGCAAUUCUGUGUUCUUUUGCCAGCACUGACAAAGGUCUGGUUGUCAGUGAUACCUUUACAGCUAAAUUUACUCCAGAGUGACAGAAACAGGUGCACCUCGGCCUGCCAGACACUUGUGCAGAGAGAUCACGCAUCUCACGGCUUGACGAUCAAGGGGGCAAAGCCUCGGUCUUCAUAGAAAAGGAGAGGAGGCAAACGCAGCCCAAACUGGGGGGUUUCUCUUCAAAGCCAGCUGGUCUGGCUUUAUUCUACAGGAAUUUUUUUACCUGUCAGGGUUUGGACAACAAAGCCCUCAGCAGGUGCUGACGGGUACAACUUCCUGGAGAAGCAGAAAGGCACUGAUUUUUUUUCUAAUUAGACUUUAAGCAUGUUGACUAGUAAACUAUAAGUAACAAUGAUCACGUGGAAGUUGUUUAAUGAGUUGUUUCCAGGGAAGGCACUAGUGGCUCAUUUUUUCAGUCUACCCGAGGUCCCUGUACUUGAAUGUUUGAGAAGCACUUUGUUUCUUUUAAAGAUUUAUUUUACUUGGAUUUUAAUUUUUAUCUUUAUUUUUAGAGAAAACAUCUUGCUCUGUUGCUCAGGCUGGAGCGCAAUGGUGCCAUCGUAGCUUACUGUAACCUUGAACGUCUGUGCUCAAGCAAUCUUCCUGCCUCAGCCUCCUGAGUAGCUGGGACUACAGGUAUGCAUCACAAUGCCCAGCGAAUUAAAAACAACCUUUUUUUUUUUUUUUUUAAGAGAUGGGGUCUCACUCUGUCACCUAAAUUGGAGAGCAGUGGCACUGUCAUAGCUCACUGUGGCCUUGAAGUUCUGGGCUGAAGCAAUCCUUCUGCCUCAGCUUCCUGAGUGGCUGGGACUACAGGCAUGAACCACUACAUUCGGCUAAUUUUAAUUUUUUUUUGUAGAGACAGGGUCUUGUUCUAUUGUCCAAGCUGGUCUUGAAUUCCUGACCUCAAGCAAUCCUCCUGCCUCUGCCUCCCAAAGCACUGGGAUUAUUACAGGUAUGAGCCACCGCACUGGGCCGUCAUGCUUACUCUUCGGAGAGAGAAGUGAAGUAUCUGAACGCCUCAGCCUGAGAAUGGGUCAUUUGCAAAGUAAAUAAAGGCAAUGCCAAACGUCAGUACAACAAGCAAUUGAACAGAAUGAUUGCAAACUGCUAAUGAAGGAGAAGGCAAGGUGCGGUUAGGAUGAACUGUAGAAGGACCCGUCCCCUAGAGCUCAUUGAGCAUCCACCCUGCUGUCCGGCUGUCCUCUCCAUAGGGGGCUCGAUGGUCUUUGCCGACUUGAGGAAAUAGGUCACUGUAUUGCAGCAGAUCCUUGGUCGUGGGGCUGGGUUGGUCAUUGCCACUAUUUUAUGGGAUGGGGAAUUUGGAAGAUUAUGAAGUGUCAGCUGGUUGCCCUUGGACAUGCAGUGAGAGGGAGGAUUCUGUUUUGCUGGAAUUUAUAGUUUUUCUUUCUUUCUUUUUUUUUUUUUUUGAGACAGAGUCUCGCUCUGUCGCCCAGGCUGGAGUGUGCAGUGGCUCGAUCUCGGCUCACUUCAAGCUCCGCCUCCCGGGUUCACGCCUUUCUCC